CAGCCGCCGCGGUAAUACCGGCGGCCCGAGUGGCGGUCACUAUUAUUGGGCUUAAAACGUCCGUAGCCGGGUUGGGAAGUCCUCCGGGAAAUCUGGCCGCUUAACGGUCAGAAUGCCGGAGGAUACUCCCAGCCUAGGGAGCGGGAGAGGCCGAGGGUAUUCCCGGAGUAGGGGUGAAAUCCUAUAAUCCCGGGAGGACCACCUGUGGCGAAGGCGCUCGGCUGGAACGCGUCCGACGGUGAGGGACGAAGGCCAGGGGAGCAAACCGGAUUAGAUACCCGGGUAGUCCUGGCUGUAAACGAUGCGGACUUUGUGUCGGACAAGCUAUGAGCUUGUCCGGUGCCGGAGGGAAACCGUUAAGUCCGCCGCCUGGGGAGUACGGCCGCAAGGCUGAAACUUAAAGGAAUUGGAGGG
This 414-nucleotide ribosomal RNA is filed under the name uncultured microorganism. RNAcentral's name for it is "bacterial SSU rRNA". It matches the Rfam family "Archaeal small subunit ribosomal RNA", at positions 459 to 872 of the family's 1478-position model. The record is from RNAcentral.